Molecule: ribosomal RNA, 2295 nt
Filed under: human gut metagenome
Description: bacterial LSU rRNA
Rfam family: Bacterial large subunit ribosomal RNA
Source: RNAcentral
AGGGCGCACGGUGGAUGCCUUGGCACUAGGAGCCGAUGAAGGACGGGACUAACACCGAUAUGCUUUGGGGAGCUGUAAGUAAGCUAUGAUCCAGAGAUUUCCGAAUGGGGGAACCCAAUAUCUUUUAUAGGAUAUUACUUUUCAGUGAAUACAUAGCUGAUUAGAGGUAGACGCAGAGAACUGAAACAUCUUAGUACCUGCAGGAAGAGAAAGAAAAUUCGAUUCCCUGAGUAGCGGCGAGCGAAACGGGAAGAGCCCAAACCAACAAGCUUGCUUGUUGGGGUUGUAGGACUCCAAUAUGGUAGUCUGUUAGUAUAGUUGAAGGAUUUGGAAAAUUCCGCUAAAGAGGGUGAAAGCCCCGUAGACGAAAUGCUGACAACACCUAGGAGGAUCCUGAGUACGGCGGAACACGAGAAAUUCCGUCGGAAUCCGCGGGGACCAUCCCGCAAGGCUAAAUACUCCCUAGUGACCGAUAGUGAACCAGUACCGUGAGGGAAAGGUGAAAAGCACCCCGGAAGGGGAGUGAAAUAGAUCCUGAAACCGUGUGCCUACAACAAGUCAAAGCUCGUUAAUGAGUGAUGGCGUGCCUUUUGUAGAAUGAACCGGCGAGUUACGAUUGCAUGCGAGGUUAAGUCGAAGAGACGGAGCCGCAGCGAAAGCGAGUCUGAAUAGGGCGAAUGAGUAUGUAGUCGUAGACCCGAAACCAUGUGAUCUACCCAUGUCCAGGUUGAAGGUGCGGUAAAACGCACUGGAGGACCGAACCCACGUACGUUGAAAAGUGCGGGGAUGAGGUGUGGGUAGCGGAGAAAUUCCAAACGAACUUGGAGAUAGCUGGUUCUCUCCGAAAUAGCUUUAGGGCUAGCCUCGGAAUUGAGAAUGAUGGAGGUAGAGCACUGUUUGGACUAGGGGCCCAUCUCGGGUUACCGAAUUCAGAUAAACUCCGAAUGCCAUUCAUUUAUAUCCGGGAGUCAGACUGCGAGUGAUAAGAUCCGUAGUCGAAAGGGAAACAGCCCAGACCACCAGCUAAGGUCCCAAAAUAUAUGUUAAGUGGAAAAGGAUGUGGGGUUGCACAGACAACUAGGAUGUUGGCUUAGAAGCAGCCACCAUUUAAAGAGUGCGUAAUAGCUCACUAGUCGAGUGACCCUGCGCCGAAAAUGUACCGGGGCUAAACAUAUUACCGAAGCUGUGGACUACACCAUUAGGUGUAGUGGUAGGAGAGCGUUCUAAGGGCGUUGAAGGUCGAUCGUGAGGACGGCUGGAGCGCUUAGAAGUGAGAAUGCCGGUAUGAGUAGCGAAAGACAGGUGAGAAUCCUGUCCACCGUAUGACUAAGGUUUCCUGGGGAAGGCUCGUCCGCCCAGGGUUAGUCGGGACCUAAGCCGAGGCCGAUAGGCGUAGGCGAUGGACAACAGGUUGAUAUUCCUGUACCAGUUGUUUUUGUUUGAGCAAUGGAGGGACGCAGUAGGCUAAGGAAUGCAUGCGAUUGGAAGUGCAUGUCCAAGCAAUGAGUCUUGAGUAGAGUUAAAUGCUUUACUCUUUAAGGACAAGUUGUGAUGGGGAGCGAAAUAAUAGUAGCGAAGUUCCUGAUGUCACACUGCCAAGAAAAGCUUCUAGUGAGAAAACAACUGCCCGUACCGUAAACCGACACAGGUAGUCGAGGAGAGUAUCCUAAGGUGAGCGAGCGAACUCUCGUUAAGGAACUCGGCAAAAUGACCCCGUAACUUCGGGAGAAGGGGUGCUGACUUCGGUCAGCCGCAGUGAAUAGGCCCAAGCGACUGUUUAUCAAAAACACAGGUCUCUGCAAAAUCGUAAGAUGAAGUAUAGGGGCUGACGCCUGCCCGGUGCUGGAAGGUUAAGAGGAUGGGUUAGCUUCGGCGAAGCUCAGAAUUGAAGCCCCAGUAAACGGCGGCCGUAACUAUAACGGUCCUAAGGUAGCGAAAUUCCUUGUCGGGUAAGUUCCGACCCGCACGAAAGGCGUAACGAUUUGGGCACUGUCUCAACGAGAGACUCGGUGAAAUUUUAGUACCUGUGAAGAUGCAGGUUACCCGCGACAGGACGGAAAGACCCCAUGGAGCUUUACUGUAGUUUGAUAUUGAGUGUUUGUACCACAUGUACAGGAUAGGUAGGAGCCGAUGAGACCGGAACGCUAGUUUCGGAGGAGGCGCUGGUGGGAUACUACCCUUGUGUUAUGAACCCUCUAACCCGCACCACUAAUCGUGGUGGGAGACAGUGUCAGAUGGGCAGUUUGACUGGGGCGGUCGCCUCCUAAAAGGUAACGGAGGCGCCCAAAGGUUCCC